GAUGAACGCUGGCGGCGUGCCUAAUACAUGCAAGUCGAGCGAACAGACGAGGAGCUUGCUCCUCUGACGUUAGCGGCGGACGGGUGAGUAACACGUGGAUAACCUACCUAUAAGACUGGGAUAACUUCGGGAAACCGGAGCUAAUACCGGAUAAUAUAUUGAACCGCAUGGUUCAAUAGUGAAAGACGGUUUUGCUGUCACUUAUAGAUGGAUCCGCGCCGCAUUAGCUAGUUGGUAAGGUAACGGCUUACCAAGGCAACGAUGCGUAGCCGACCUGAGAGGGUGGUCGGCCACACUGGAACUGAGACACGGUCCAGACUCCUACGGGAGGCAGCAGUAGGGAAUCUUCCGCAAUGGGCGAAAGCCUUACGGAGCAACGCCGCGUGAGUGAUGAAGGUCUUCGGAUCGUAAAACUCUGUUAUUAGGGAAGAACAAAUGUGUAAGUAACUAUGCGCGUCUUGACGGUACCUAAUCAGAAAGCCACGGCUAACUACGUG
RNAcentral lists this ribosomal RNA (497 nucleotides) under uncultured bacterium. RNAcentral describes it as "partial 16S ribosomal RNA". It matches the Rfam family "Bacterial small subunit ribosomal RNA", at positions 28 to 507 of the family's 1533-position model. The record is from RNAcentral.